Molecule: unclassified non-coding RNA, 2697 nt
Filed under: Thrips palmi
Lineage: Eukaryota; Metazoa; Arthropoda; Insecta; Thysanoptera; Thripidae
Description: uncharacterized LOC117652978, transcript variant X2
Source: RNAcentral
GAACUUGGGCAGCUGCAGCAGCCGCUGGCGGAAGAGCGCGGCGCCGUGGAGAGGCUGUGCGCGGAGCUGGACGAACUCCGCGGGGACAACCGCCAGGACGACCAGCGGGAACGGCCGCCACCGCAGCCUCAGCAGCCCUCGACGGUGCGACGAUGGCAGCAUUUCCGAAGGCGUUGAGUGACCUGCAUGAUUUCGGAGUGAGAUACUUCGAUAUCAGCAGGGAGCAAUACCUUGAGCCCGGAAAGCUCUUUGACACCAUGGUGACUGACGGUGACAUCUGUCGUACAGGAGCGUUCGUGGUUGUUUUCAACCUCCAAUUCGGAAAUAUUUUUUGAUAGGUGCAAAAUGUGUGCUUGUACUCCACAUGUUUUUUUUGUUCUUUCCAGGGGAGACUGCACGAAUCUUGUGCGCCUUCCAAAGCGGAUGUUGAGAACAGCUUGGAGGCCAUCAAGACUUUCUUGAGGCGUGACCUGCCGAAGGGCGAAAAAACGCGUCAAUUCAACCCUGAUGUGCAGUUAAGGACUCCACUACGACCGGAGACAGGCAGCUACCUGAUUGAAGCCCUCGGCUCAGGCGACAAGAGGACUAAAUCGUAUGAAAAGCAGAGGGCCAAGUUCAUGAAGGCCGUCCGGUCGACGGACUUUUUUUCGGAGGAACGCACAUCAUUGGAAAUGGAGUUUUUCAAGGAGGGUGGGGGAAUUAACGCAGCCCUCGACAAAUUUUUCCACAUUUGUGGGAGAAAAAGGUCAUCGUCUAUGGGGCGAACCUAGACCGUCCCGAGAUGCCCACAAGCCCAGGACUGGGCAUGAAAGCUGUACGGAAUGCCAUAACCCACUUGAAAUACGCUGAAACCGAGGAGGGACCGGCCAUGGAGGGUCCCGUCUCGGGUUUAACGGAGCCAGUACUUUACCUGGGGACUGAAGGAUCUAGCUUCAAUGUCCACAUUGAAGACAGGUCCUUCGAGUCCAUCAACAGGCUUGUAGCUGGUGCAAUCAAUGGUUUGUCAUUCCUCCCAGGUAUCUGGAAGCCUUUCUCUAUCUGGGGAGGACUUCGGGCAUCCCAAACCAUGAAUACCGGUGCUAUCAAAACGUCCAACAUAAAUUCUAGUUUGUGGACCCCAGAGUGGUGGUACAGAACGGCAUUCCCGUCUUCACGAUCGCGCAGCAGCCCGGUGACAUCGUGUACGUGCUCCCGCACACGAUUCACUGGGGCUUCAAUCUUGAAAGCAACGUGAAUGAGUCCAUGAAUCUCGUGUCCAGCUCCUGGAUUCCCCACGGACUAAAUUCUCGUGGUCGCUGCAGAUGUCCCAAUGUCGACGGAAACUUCGCGGAGCACUUCCUGGAGGAUAUGUUCAGAGAGUUGAAAGUCUCCUGGGAACACAUUCUGUGUUUCAAGGAGAAUUUCCGGCUUCCUCUCUCUAAAUUGUACCGAAAGGAGGUGCAUCCCAGGUCGGGAGUGCCAUUUGACGCCGCGAUCAGCAUGAACAAUUUGCUGGGUCAGGAUUUCGAUGGAGACGAAAUCGGGAAACCUGCAGUUCGGGUGCAGUGGCCUGGCCCCUUUGAACGACGAGGCGUCCUCGAGGUGGGGCUGACUCAUCAGCAGAAUUGCUCUUCACUUCUUCAUGAAUGUUGCCCAAAUCCUAGAUGGCAUGGAGCAGUCAUCUCGAAUUGCCUCGCAUAGACAACUUCUUGAGGCAGUUUUCCAUGAUGCCGACCUCAUGAAGAAGUGAGACAAUGUGUGCGACGGGAGGCUGCGCCAAGAAGACUCCUUGCGUCUCAUGGAGCUCAUUUGCAGAGAAUUCUGCAAUACUCAUGCGCGCGGUGUUAUCAAGAAGAGGAUAAUAAAUUAAACAGGUUUCCACCAGUGCAAUUGCGUGCUUAACUGGCCAAUAAAUAGUGUAUCCUUUGUUAACUUAGUCAGCGCCUUUGUCUGCAGUCAGAACAGAGCGAUGGGACUCUAACAUGAAGCUGUAUGCAGGGAUUGUCAAAAACACGGAGCUUGGCUCCCGGCUGGAGGACGCUGUUGAUUUCGUGGCACAAGAUGCACUUUAUCACAAUGAGUGCUUUCUAGUGCUGAAACCCGAAGCUAAGCGUAAACUAUCAGAGAAAGAUGAAUCUGAGAAUAUAGUAGAAACAAGAACAAUGGCCCUCUCAAAAAUAAUUUCUGAUCUGUGUCAGGCCAAAAUGACUGUGGACUUAUCAACGCCACCCGUAUUCUACAUGUCUGAGAUUCAAAAAAGGUUCAAAAAGUGCAAGGGUGGUUUGGGUGACUGCCAUUCUACUCGCCUCCGUAAAAGGCUCCUUGCAGCUUGCCCUCUGAGUCUGUCAAACCGGAAAGAAACGGAUCGGUCAUGACGUUCAAAGGGGACGCCUGCACCGCGAUCCACUCGCUGUCCAGGACAGGCGAUAACUGGAACACUGUUUUAGAGCAAGCUGCCAACACACUGCGGGACGCCAGAUUUUCCAAGAAUAGAACUACUGUGAAUGGCUAUUGUGAGAGGAAGAAGGCUCAACACCAUUCACAAAGCAUACUAAGUAGAACAAAUCCAUUCCACGAUAAAAUCCCUGAUCCUCUCAUUCUUCUGUUCUUUUGGAAGAAAAACAACGGCCCGCUGCUGGACAUAUCACAGGUGCAGAAAGUGACUGAGCAGGCUUGUCGAGAAAGCCGGACCUUCGUGCAGAGGUUGGCAAGGGCAGA